Molecule: ribosomal RNA, 460 nt
Filed under: uncultured bacterium
Lineage: Bacteria
Description: partial 16S ribosomal RNA
Rfam family: Bacterial small subunit ribosomal RNA
Source: RNAcentral
CCUACGGGAGGCAGCAGUGAGGCAUAUUGGUCAAUGGUCGCGAGCCUGAACCAGCCACGUAGCGUGAAGGAUGACUGCCCUACGGGUUGUAAACUUCUUUUAUAAGGGAAUAAAGUGAGGCACGUGUGCCUUUUUGUAUGUACUUUAUGAAUAAGGAUCGGCUAACUCCGUGCCAGCAGCCGCGGUAAUACGGAGGAGACGAGCGUUAACCGGUUUUAUUGGGGUUAAAGGGAGCGUAGAUGGGUUGUUAAGUCAGUUGUGAAAGUUUGCGGCUCAACCGUAAAAUUGCAAUGGAUACUGGCAGCCUGGAGUACAGUGGAGGUAGGCGGAAUUCGUGGUGUAGCGGUGAAAUGCGUAGAUAUCACGAAGAACUCCGAUGGCGAAGGCAGCCUACUAAACUGCCACUGACAUUGAGGCUCGAAAGUGUGGGUAUCAAACAGGAUUAGAUACCCCAGUAGUC